GCCGCGUUAGCGUAGUGGUAGCGCGUCGCACUUGUACAGCUGGUCGCUUGAGCCAGAACAGCACAUGCGAAGGUCACUCGUUCAAUCCGGGUACGUGGCA
Molecule: non-coding RNA, 100 nt
Organism: Fomitopsis betulina (razor strop fungus)
Lineage: Eukaryota; Fungi; Basidiomycota; Agaricomycetes; Polyporales; Fomitopsidaceae
Source: the annotation of a GenBank genome assembly